UGGGGGAGUAUUGCACAAUGGGGGGAACCCGUGAUGCAGCGACGCCGCGUGGGUGAAGGAGCGUUUCGGCGCGUAAAGCCCUAUCGGCAGGGAAGAAGGAGGACGGUACCUGACUAAGAAGCCCCGGCUAACUACGUGCCAGCAGCCUCGGUAAUAUGACGCU
RNAcentral lists this ribosomal RNA (163 nucleotides) under uncultured bacterium. Its description in RNAcentral is "partial 16S ribosomal RNA". It matches the Rfam family "Bacterial small subunit ribosomal RNA", at positions 354 to 532 of the family's 1533-position model. The record is from RNAcentral.